Oncorhynchus tshawytscha (Chinook salmon) is the source of this 895-nucleotide long non-coding RNA. The record is from Ensembl. NCBI's taxonomy places the organism in Eukaryota, Metazoa, Chordata, Actinopteri, Salmoniformes, Salmonidae.
UUCCCAGACGAUAAAACAAGAAAAGAGAGGUGACCUGGGUGGGAAUAAGGGUGAUGGUUUGGGGUCAGCAUGGUGUUGGUAGUGUGAUGGUUUGGGGUCAGCAUGGUGGUGGUAGUGUGAUGGUUUGGGCAUGGUGGUGGUAGUGUGAUGGUUUGGGGUCAGCAUGGUGGUGGUAGUGUGAUGGUUUGGGGUGGUGCAUGGUGGUGGUAGUGUGAUGGUUUGGGGUCAGCAUGGUGUUGGUAGUGUGAUGGUUUGGGGUCAGCAUGGUGGUGGUAGUGUGAUGGUUUGGGGUCAGCAUGGUGGUGGUAGUGUGAUGGUUUGGGGGUCCAGCAUGGUGGUGGUAGUGUGAUGGUUUGGGGUCAGCAUGGUGGUGGUAGUGUGAUGGUUUGGGGUCAGAAUGGUGGUGUGAUGGUUUGGGGUCAGCAUGGUGGUGGUAGUGUGAUGGUUUGGGGUCAGCAUGGUGGUGGUGGUAGUGUGAUGGUUUGGGGUCAGCAUGGUGGUGGUAGUGUGAUGGUUUGGGGUCAGCAUGGUGGUGGUACUGUGAUGGUUUGGGGUCCAGCAUUGUGGUGGUAGUGUGAUGGUUUGGGGUCCAGCAUGGUGGUGGUAGUGUGAUGGUUUGGGGUCAACAUGGUGGUGGUGGUAGUGUGAUGGUUUGGGGUCAGCAUGGUGGUGGUAGUGUGAUGGUUUGGGGUCAGCAUGGUGGUGGUGGUAGUGUGAUGGUUUGGGGUCAGCAUGGUGGUGGUAGUGUGAUGGUUUGGGGUCCAGCAUGGUGGUGGUAGUGUGAUGGUUUGGGGUCCAGCAUGGUGGUGGUAGUGUGAUGGUUUGGGGUCCAGCAUGGUGGUGGCAGUGUGAUGGUUUGGGGUCAGCAUGGUGGUGGUAGUGUGAUGGUUUUGGG